GGAUGCGUAGCUGUGCCUCCGAGGCCUGCUUCGGGACCAAGGGUGGCAUAGCCCUGUUCCUCUGCAGGACUCAUCACAGCCAGGGAGGCCCCUCUUCUGGUGUUUUCAGACUCAAGGACACCGAGACUCACUUCUUUCUCAUGACAUAACCUCCAAGUUACAACACUCAGAAGCUGUCAGUGGUCAUAUUUUCUGUCUUAGACAAAACCAGUCUUCUGGGAAAAGAACAAAUGAGGCUGAUCUGCAGCAAGAAGCAAAAACAAGAACCUGGUGGGGCUGCUGUGGCUUGCAAAUCCCUGGUUCCAGAUGUCUCUAAGGCCCACCCACAUCCCCGCCCCUCUGCUGGCUCAAUUAUUGGGCUGUUUCUUAGAUUCUGUGAGAUGCUCCAAGAUCC
This 394-nucleotide long non-coding RNA is filed under the name Homo sapiens (human). Its description in RNAcentral is "HSALNT0222574". Lineage: Eukaryota; Metazoa; Chordata; Mammalia; Primates; Hominidae. The record is from RNAcentral.